UGGAGGUCUCUUCCAACCUUGACUAUUCUGUGAUUCUGUGAUUCUGUAAUUAUUCUGUUGAUGGUAAAGCAGCAGGCUUAGAGACUUAGGUCUCUGGUAUCCUCCUCAGCAUAGUCGUCAAAUCCAGUACGUUCCUCUUCUAUACCACCUUAUCUCAUUGGUUCAUACAUUUAUAAAAUCUUAAUCAAUCCUAACUUUUGU
This is a long non-coding RNA of Oxyura jamaicensis (ruddy duck), 201 nucleotides long. RefSeq lists it as uncharacterized. The record is from RefSeq and is a predicted model, not a curated record. The transcript is spliced from 2 exons. Lineage: Eukaryota; Metazoa; Chordata; Aves; Anseriformes; Anatidae.